Dendrobium catenatum is the source of this 5962-nucleotide RNA transcript. It is a transcript of the gene named AT-rich interactive domain-containing protein 1A, with no coding region annotated. The transcript has 11 exons. The record is from RefSeq and is a predicted model, not a curated record. Lineage: Eukaryota; Viridiplantae; Streptophyta; Magnoliopsida; Asparagales; Orchidaceae.
UCUUAUCCUAUUAAAGCUCUCUUCCAAUCCCUAACCCUAACCCUAACCAAGCCGCUUCGCAUUUUCUUUCCUCGCUGCUGUCGCCUGAGUGAGUGAGUGGCCUCUUGCCUCUUCUUCUUGUUGAGAGACCGGGAAAAGCCCUUCAACUCCAUCGGUUUUCGGCUUCUUAUCGGUAAGCCCCACCAAACAGACUAAGCAUAUUGUACCCCGGAAGAACUAACUGCUCCCGUUUCUUCGCUGCACCUGUUCUCUGAUUUCUCACAAGACCUCAUAACUCGACGGUUCAACCUCAAGGCCUCAUAACUGGACUUCUUCAAUGAUUUAUCCUUCCUUCUCCUGUUCUCUCUCAUAAACCCUAAUUGCCUUCGCCUCCUAUAACCAUGUUAUUAUUCGAGACCGAUAUCUGACCGUAGUUUUGAAGAAAGGCUGUUUAGGCGGGUAGCUUCUGCUUAAGCUUAGAACCCAAAAUGGGCUUUGACAAUGAGUGUAUAUUAAAUAUACAGUCUCUACCUGGUGAAUAUUUCUGUCCUGUUUGCCGCACUCUAAUCUUUCCCAAUGAAGCACUUCAGUCACAAUGCACUCAUCUCUAUUGCAAGCCCUGCUUGGCCUAUAUUGUCGCCACUACUCAUGCUUGCCCUUAUGAUGGCUACCUGGUCACUGAAGCGGACUCUAAGCCUCUCUUAGAAUCAAACAAGACACUUGCUGAGACGAUAGGCAAAGUACAAGUUUAUUGUCUUUAUCACAGGAGUGGAUGCCAGUGGCAGGGCACAUUGUCUGAUUGCAUUAAUCACUGUGCUGGAUGUAGUUUCGGAAACUCUCCUGUUGUCUGCAAUAGAUGCGGAACUCAAAUUGUACAUCGUCAAGUUCAAGAGCAUGCACAAACAUGCCCUGGUUUGCAGCCUCAAGGACAACAAGUAGAGAGUGGUCAGGGUCAUGUAUUGUCUGCAUCAAACCAAGAUGUUACACAGGAUUCCUCUGCCACUGCUGUGGCUUCCACGACGACAACUUCUUCCACAGCUGUUGUGACAACAGCCAUAUCCACUUCAACUCCUGGAACAACAUUAUCAGUUUCGGCUCCUGCUAAUGCUCCUGCCGUUGCUUCAGCUGCCAAUGUUGUUCAGACUCAGAACCAACCAUUAACAGUCGCUUAUCCGCAAGGUGGCAUGCAAGCUCCUAUGGCGGAGCAGUGGUACCGUCAACAACAACUUCAAUAUCAACAAUAUUAUCAGCAGUAUCCUGGAUAUGAUCCUUAUCAGCAGCAAUACCAACAGUAUGGCCAAUAUCAACAGCAAACUUAUCAGCAGUAUCCGCAAACUCAUAUGCAGGUUGCUCCACAACAGGUAAUUCAAGGUCAGCAGCAGGCUCAGCCAUAUGUGCUGCCCCAACCGCAUACUCAGCCUCUACCACAACCUCAAGCACAAUCCCAGGCCCAAGGUACCCUUCUCCAACCACAGCAACAACCUGUUCCUCAGCCGCAGCUCCAGCCCCAGCCUCAGCUCCCGACCCCUCCCCUGCCUCAGUCCCAACCCCAGCCCCAGCCCCAGCCCCAGCCUCAGCCCCAGCCCCAAUCUCAUACUCAUCCUCAACCACAGAUUCAAACCCAACUUCUUUCACAUUCCCAGUUUCCUCAAGCUCAGCAUGUUCCUGUUCAGCAACCUCAUCAGCAGAUACAGCCACAAAUCACACAGACCACUCAGCUACCAGCACAUGCCGGGCAACCCCAGUAUUCACAACUGCAUUCUUAUGCCCAGACUCAGCUGCCAGUUCUUCAUGCUCAGCAGCAUCAACAGACUGUUCUUGCACAGCAGCAACCUCAACCACCUCUGCAACCGCUGCAACAAAACAUGCAAAGUCAGCCACGUCCGGUACCAUUGCCUCAGGCACAGUCAUACAAUCAGACCCAGACUCAAUUUCAACAACCCCACAUGCAGCAACCUCGUCCUCUUCCCCACGCUCAACCCCAGCCUCAGGCACAUCUUCAGCCCCAGCCCUUGUCCCAGCCCCAGCUUCAGCCUCAGUCCCAACCCCAGCCUCAGCCUCAGCCUCAACCUCAGCCCCAGCCUCCACCGCAGCCUUAUCCUCAGGCUCAGGCUCAGCUACAUCAAUCUCAGAAUCCAUCUCUUCAUGGGGUUACAGGGCAUCAAUCUUAUCCUCAGUCCCAGCCGCUCCAGCAAAUACCUCAUGGAGUGCCACAUCAACGGCCUAUGAAUCCGCAGCAGCCUGGUGCACCUCCUCAACAAGUUUCUCAAAGUCAGUUCCCCAUCCAUCAAGCGCAACAAGUGAGGCCCUCACAGACUCAUAUUCCUCUGCAAACACAGCAAUACCCUGCUAUGCAGCCUCAUGGACAAGGUCCAUUUCCGAAUGCUGCAUUGCAGCCACUAGCUCAGCACUUGGCCCAUCAGCCAGCUCAACAGAUGCACCAGUCAGUAGGUGUGCAAAUGCAUCCACAGCAGCAAGCUUUACCUCAGCAGCAAGCCUUACCUCAGCAGCAAGCACCAGGCCAAUUUCCAUCUGCGCAGAUGUCCCAGCAAGGUGGAUUUCCAUCGCAACCACCUUCACACUCUCAGCAUUCUUUAAGAUCGCAGGUCCAGCCAUACAUGCAGCCUCCAUCCCAAGGCAGGACUAUGGUACCAACCCAACCACUGCUGCAGCAAGUUCAACAUUCUCCUGCUAAGCUAAUUCAAACUGGCAUGAAUCAACACUCACCUAGUGAUAAUCAUUUGGCCAGACAACAUGGAUCCAUCCACCAAUCUCAAUUACAUUCUGGGAGCCAGGGCUCUCUUGUUCCUGCUGCCUCUCGUUCUGGGAUAGAUGCUAACCAAAUAUCUGUGGCUGGAUCAGACUUCAAGUCAGCUGUGCUUGAUAAACCUGCUGAUUCAAAAUUAGAUAAGGCCGGCCAAGUGAAACAAUCGGAGGCAGAAUCAACUGGAAAUGCUGUUGGAUCUGAAACAUCUAGAUCCUCUGAACUUGUUAUUUCUAAGACUGAUAGUGAUUCCAAAUCCGUGGCUGAAGGGGAGACACCUAUUGAUGUCAAUGAGAAUUCAGAAACAAAGGAGAUCAAGGAUGGUUUGGUGCUGAAGCAUUUAAGUGGGGUAUCGGCAGAUUUCCAGGAUGGAACAGAAGAUUCUAAUGCUUUUAAAGCUAUUGAAGGAGUGAAGGAAGAUCAUAGGAUUGAGGGAAAGCAACACACUAAACCUAAACCAAUGGUUGAUGGGUUCACAGCUGAUUCCACAUUAGAUGGCCCUAAUGCAGCUCAGCCUCUACCAGGAAACAGCAAACAAAUGGAGAAAUCAGAUCAAGGUUCUGGUACCAGAAAUCAAACCUCUGGAAAUGCAGCUAGCAGCAUUCAGAUUGCCCAGCCUAUGCCCCAGGGGCAACAUCAUGAUUUGGAAGCUCAUGAAAAAACAUUCCCACCAUCGGGGUAUUAUGAUAAAGGUCUAUCCCAAUUUCCUCCACCGCAAGCAGGGGCAGUUGGCCUCCGUGGAAUAUCUCCAGCAGGCCCAGUUCUUGGUCAUGAUAGAUAUCCUCUGAAUAUUCCGCAUGGGCAAACUCCUAACAUGGAUGUAGCAAUGGUGUCCCAAAGACCUUCUGGACCCGAUGGAAUGUUCCCACAAAACAUGCCUCAAACUGUACCUAAUCAAGAGAGGAGGUUCCAAGAGCCAUUUCCCCAUCCUAUUCCUGUACAUGGCCCACCAAUGGCACCUGGGCAGCUAAGACCACCUGGAUAUUCUGAAAAUUUUCCAUAUCCGGUACAGACUCCAGCUAUGGCAGACCCUUUUCAACAACCAGCAGCAAAGCAACCUUAUGGCUCUAAUAUUCCACCAACAAAUGCAGAGGAAAUUAAUCCAUUCCCUGUGAGAAGCCAAAGCCAUGGUCCCCAACCUAAUGCUAUUGGUCCAGUGGCUGCUCCAAUUGAUCCAUUGGCACGUUCAGCCAUGGGUGGGCCUCCUCCCAGAGCAUUUGAAGCAGCAAGCGGGAUGCUGUCUAGGGGUUCUCAAUUUGGUUAUGAUGAUCGAACUGGUAGAUCUGGUCCAGUUAACUUGAUGGAAGGGCCAGGGUAUUAUGAUGGCAGGCAGUCUGAGUCUCAUAGGCCCUUGCCUGGUGAACAUGUUCCUUUUGGACAGCAGACUGUUAUGCAGCCGAACAUGAUGAAAAUGAAUGGUUUGUCAGGGAAAGGACCUGCUGGUGUCAUGCAUGAUUCAGCAUUUUCACAUGGUGUAUCAGAUGAUAGAUUUCGACCACCACCUGGAGAAAGGUUUGCUCCAUUGCCUGAAGAGUGUUUGAGAGCAGCACCGGGUGAAAAAUUUAGGCCUAUAAUGGACUCAGGCCGGAACAUUGCAAAUCACAGGGAAUUUGAGGAAGACUUAAAACAAUUCCCAAGGCCUAGUCAUUUGGAUGGUGAUGGGUCUCAUAAAUUUAAUGUAUAUGGGCCUGCUAGCAGGCCAGUAGACAGGGGACAUCAUUUUGGGCCUGAUGGAGGACCUAGGACAUUUGAUAGAGCUUCAGUCGGCUCAUUUGCCCCACACCCAUCUGGUGCCCGAUUUCCUCCUAGUAGUGGAGGUUUAGAAUUUGGACCAUUGGAUAUUGCAGAUAGACAAAGGGGUCCUGUUUUUCAUGAUGAUUUAGGUGGGAAGCACGAAGCCCUUCCUGAGCGUCUCAGGCCUUUUCCUGAAUUUGGUCGUCCUCAUAUUGAUAGUCUUCCAUCUAUAAGAAGUCCUGGUCGUCCGGAUGGCUCAGGGCAUUUUCUUAUGGAUUCUAGUAUUUUUAGGAAGGAAAUAGAUGCUUUUGAUGUCUCCCACAAUCGUUUGCGUGCUUCUGAACAUGUUGGCCAUGGUUUGGCUAAUAAUAUUAGACUAGGCGAACCAUAUGGUGCUCGGAAUUUACCUAGCCAUCUAAGGUUCAAUGAUUCAACCAGUCAUGGUCCGCUUCGUGGUGGUGAGUCAAUUGGAUUUGGUGGAUAUGGUCGAAUUCCAAUUGGUGAUUCAGGGCUUUCUAAUAGUUAUCCUGUUCAUGAUCAGGUUUCUUUACAGGGUGAUCUGGAUUCUUUUGAGCAUUUAAGGAAGAGGAAGCACGGAAGCAUGGGAUGGUGCCGCUUAUGCAAGAUUGACUGUGAAACAGUUGAGGGUUUGGAGGUGCACUCACAGACAAAGGAUCAUCAGAAUAUGGCAAUGGAGAUAGUUCUUAACAUCAAGAAAGAUAAUGCAAAGAAGCAUAAAUUAACCUCUGAAGAAACAGACGACACAAAUAAAUCAAGGAAGGCAAGCUUUGAGAACCGUGGGGGCAGGCGUUGAAAUCAUUGUGCUUGUUACUGCUUAAACUUUGUGAAGUUGUAGGCCUUGAAGUUUCUGCGAUAAGUUAAGUUUGGUUUUGGUAAUAUCUACUAUUGCAAAGAGAUAUUUAAUCUGCUUUGCUUUUACCUUUCUUGUCACUUUGCUGCACAUGCAUUUCUCAAGAUUCUACCUAUUUUGCUUCCUUUGAGUGCAGCUUUAAAGAUGUUAUGAUAUUUUAAUGCGUUGGAGACUGUAGUACUCUUGUCCCAAAAUUUUCAUACUUCCAUAUAACUGGAGAAAGUGAAGUCCUGCUAACUCCAAAUUUUCUCAUACUGUGGUCCUUCUGGAGAAUGAUGGUCGUGUCUGCUCAAAUUGAACUGCUGAAGAAUUAUUUACAGUCGUAAGGAAUCAAAUCAGUCUAUAGGUGGCAAGCUAUGGGUAACUCCCUGGAUGAAGCUUUCUUAUGUUAACUAGCAAAUACCAUUUGAUUUUGAUGUGACUAUGUUACAUUUAUCAUAGAGGUGUAUAACUUCUUCAAAGAGCAAUAUUUUAAUUUAAUGCGGUGGUGGGGGUUGGGUAAGAGAUUCCAUGAGCAAAUUACUUUUGAGUUUAAAUAAUAGAUUUUAUCAUUCAUUUGUCUUUUGGCUCAAUAAAGUAGAAGCGAUGUGUGUCCUAUGCACAGUUGUUUGACA